RNAcentral lists this ribosomal RNA (301 nucleotides) under uncultured bacterium. Its description in RNAcentral is "partial 16S ribosomal RNA". It matches the Rfam family "Bacterial small subunit ribosomal RNA", at positions 509 to 807 of the family's 1533-position model. The record is from RNAcentral.
CAGUCGCCACGGGAAUACGUAGGGUGCAAGCGUUAAUCGGAAUUACUGGGCGUAAAGCGUGCGCAGGCGGUUCGCUAAGACAGAUGUGAAAUCCCCGGGCUUAACCUGGGAACUGCAUUUGUGACUGGCGGGCUAGAGUAUGGCAGAGGGGGGUAGAAUUCCACGUGUAGCAGUGAAAUGCGUAGAGAUGUGGAGGAAUACCGAUGGCGAAGGCAGCCCCCUGGGCCAAUACUGACGCUCAUGCACGAAAGCGUGGGGAGCAAACAGGAUUAGAUACCCGAGUAGUCCCUGUCUCUUAUAC